CCUACGGGAGGCAGCAGUGGGGAAUAUUGGACAAUGGGGGGAACCCUGAUCCAGCCAUGCCGCGUGCAGGAAGACGGCUCUAUGAGUUGUAAACUGCUUUUGUACGAGGGUAAACGCAGAUACGCGUAUCUGUCUGAAAGUAUCGUACGAAUAAGGAUCGGCUAACUCCGUGCCAGCAGCCGCGGUAAUACGGAGGAUUCAAGCGUUAUCCGGAUUUAUUGGGCGUAAAGCGCUCGUAGGCGGUAUGUCAAGUCAAGUGUGAAAUCCCCGCGCUCAACGUGGGAACUGCCUUUGAAACUGGCAAACUGGAGUGUGUGAGAGGAUAGUGGAAUUCCAGGUGUAGGAGUGAAAUCCGUAGAUAUCUGGAGGAACAUCAGUGGCGAAGGCGACUAUCUGGCACAUAACUGACGCUGAGGAGCGAAAGCGUGGGUAGCAAACAGGAUUAGAUACCCCUGUAGUC
Molecule: ribosomal RNA, 460 nt
Filed under: uncultured bacterium
Lineage: Bacteria
Description: partial 16S ribosomal RNA
Rfam family: Bacterial small subunit ribosomal RNA
Source: RNAcentral